GGGGGCGAACGGCUUCGACCGGAUGAUGGACGGACAAGUUGCAUGCCCAGGACGCCGGUUGGCCUGGCUAAUCAUUCCGGCACCUAAAUUUUUAAGCGACAACACACAGUUGCGCAUGGCUGCCUAAAUUGGCUGCCCGUCCUGCCUGAUUUUGCCUGUGGGUUGGGUAAGGACGUCACUAAGCAGGCUGGCUGAGCCGGUUGUUCGGGCCGGCAAAGCGAGAACUAACCGAAAUAGCUGAGCUAAGAGCCUGUCGUUUUGGCGCUUGGUAAGGUGAAGAAUACAAUUAAGCGACUAAGCAUGUAGAAGCUUGCCUUGAAACAUCUCGGGACGGGGGUUCAAAUCCCCCCGCCUCCAUUG
This 360-nucleotide transfer-messenger RNA is filed under the name Phycisphaerae bacterium. It matches the Rfam family "transfer-messenger RNA". Rfam says of the family: Bacterial tmRNA, also known as 10Sa RNA or SsrA, is named for its dual tRNA and mRNA-like properties. Its role is to liberate the mRNA from a stalled ribosome. Lineage: Bacteria; Pseudomonadati; Planctomycetota; Phycisphaerae. The record is from RNAcentral. RNAcentral also lists the same sequence under 2 other names.